AUCUCUCUAAGAGUACCUGUAACUCGGAACGGACCCACCCCCGAAAAUUAACGGCCCUAACUGAAGGAAUUAUACGACACAAAAUCAACUAGAAAGCCCUAUAACACUAAACCGUUAACCCUACACAGGCACUCCCCUGAAGAAAGACUAAAAGGAGCAUAAGGAACUCGGCAAACACGCACAUAAGCCUCGCCUGUUUACCAAAAACAUCGCCUCUUGUAAAAACAUAAGAGGUCCUGCCUGCCCAGUGACACAAUGUUCAACGGCCGCGGUAUUUUGACCGCGUGAAGGUAGCGUAAUCAUUUGUCUUUUAAAUGAAGACCUGUAUGAAUGGCAUAACGAGGGCUUAACUGUCUCAUCCUCCCAGUCAAUGAAAUUGAUCUCCCCGUGCAGAAGCGGGGAUAAACACAUAAGACGAAAAGACCCUGUGGAGCUUUAGAUUACAGAACAGUCUUAAUAAAACUUUUUAAAGCCCCUGUUCAUUUAUCUUCGGUUGGGGCGACCACGGAGAAAACUUAUCCUCCACGCUGCACAAAACACCAUGUUUUUAUAACCAAGAGCGACAGCUCUAAGCACCAGAAUUUCUGACCCCAAAGAUCCGGGCAUACCGAUCAACGAACCAAGUUACCCCAGGGAUAACAGCGCAAUCCCCUUCUAGAGCCCAUAUCGACAAGGGGGUUUACGACCUCGAUGUUGGAUCAGGGCAUCCUAAUGGCGCAACCAC
Molecule: ribosomal RNA, 724 nt
Filed under: Kryptolebias caudomarginatus
Lineage: Eukaryota; Metazoa; Chordata; Actinopteri; Cyprinodontiformes; Rivulidae
Description: partial 16S ribosomal RNA
Rfam family: Bacterial large subunit ribosomal RNA
Source: RNAcentral